CAUUAUUAAUUUUGGUACCAUUUUCAACUUUGGUACCAUUUUUAGCUUUGGUACCAAAGUUGAAAAUGGUACCAAAGUUGAAAA
Molecule: microRNA precursor, 84 nt
Filed under: Strigamia maritima
Lineage: Eukaryota; Metazoa; Arthropoda; Chilopoda; Geophilomorpha; Linotaeniidae
Description: microRNA mir-186
Source: RNAcentral